GACGAACGCUGGCGGCGUGCUUAACACAUGCAAGUCGAACGGAAAGGCCCUGCUUUUGUGGGGUGCUCGAGUGGCGAACGGGUGAGUAACACGUGAGUAACCUGCCCUUGACUUUGGGAUAACGUCAGGAAACUGGGGCUAAUACCGGAUAGGAGCUCCUGCUGCAUGGUGGGGGUUGGAAAGUUUCGGCGGUUGGGGAUGGACUCGCGGCUUAUCAGCUCGUUGGUGGGGUAGUGGCUUACCAAGGCCUUGACGGGUAGCCGGCCUGAGAGGGUGACCGGCCACAUUGGGACUGAGAUACGGCCCAGACUCCUACGGGAGGCAGCAGUGGGGAGUAUUGCACAAUGGGCGGAAGCCUGAUGCAGCAACGCCGCGUGCGGGAUGACGGCCUUCGGGUUGUAAACCGCUUUCGCCUGUGACGAAGCGUGAGUGACGGUAAUGGGUAAAGAAGCACCGGCUAACUACGUG
Molecule: ribosomal RNA, 468 nt
Filed under: uncultured bacterium
Lineage: Bacteria
Description: partial 16S ribosomal RNA
Rfam family: Bacterial small subunit ribosomal RNA
Source: RNAcentral